ACCCUACGGGGGGCAGCAGUGGGGAAUAUUGGACAAUGGGGGAAACCCUUAUCCAGCGACGCCGCGUGAGGGAAGAAGGUUUUCGGAUUGUAAACCUCUGUCAGUGGGGACGAUAAUGACGGUACCUGACUAAGAAGCCCCGGCUAACUACGUGCCAGCAGCCGCGGUAAUACGUAGGGGGCAAGCGUUAUCCGGAUUUACUGGGUGUAAAGGGAGCGUAGACGGUUACGCAAGUCUGGAGUGAAAGGCGGGGGCCCAACCCCCGGACUGCUUUGGAAACUGUAUAACUGGAGUGCAGGAGAGGG
This 305-nucleotide ribosomal RNA is filed under the name uncultured bacterium. RNAcentral's name for it is "bacterial SSU rRNA". It matches the Rfam family "Bacterial small subunit ribosomal RNA", at positions 335 to 658 of the family's 1533-position model. The record is from RNAcentral.